GACAAACCAGAAAAAAAUGGGAAAGAAAAACAACUUUGAGCGGUGGAUCACUCGGCUCGUGCGUCGAGAAGAGC
This 74-nucleotide ribosomal RNA is filed under the name Megalophaedusa gracilispira. RNAcentral describes it as "Tyrannophaedusa gracilispira partial 5.8S rRNA". The record is from RNAcentral. Lineage: Eukaryota; Metazoa; Mollusca; Gastropoda; Stylommatophora; Clausiliidae.